GAUGAACGCUAGCUACAGGCUUAACACAUGCAAGUCGAGGGGAAACGACAUCGAAAGCUUGCUUUUGAUGGGCGCCGACCGGCGCACGGGUGAGUAACGCGUAUCCAACCUGCCCAUCACUUGGGAAUAACCUUGCGAAAGUAAGACUAAUACCCAAUGACAUCCCACGAAGACAUCUGAAUGGGAUUAAAGAUUUAUCGGUGAUGGAUGGGGAUGCGUCUGAUUAGCUUGUUGGCGGGGUAACGGCCCACCAAGGCAACGAUCAGUAGGGGUUCUGAGAGGAAGGUCCCCCACAUUGGAACUGAGACACGGUCCAAACUCCUACGGGAGGCAGCAGUGAGGAAUAUUGGUCAAUGGGCGAGAGCCUGAACCAGCCAAGUAGCGUGCAGGAUGACGGCCCUAUGGGUUGUAAACUGCUUUUAUAAGGGAAUAAAGUGGGUCUCGUGAGACUUUUUGCAUGUACCUUAUGAAUAAGGACCGGCUAAUUCCGUG
Molecule: ribosomal RNA, 492 nt
Filed under: uncultured bacterium
Lineage: Bacteria
Description: partial 16S ribosomal RNA
Rfam family: Bacterial small subunit ribosomal RNA
Source: RNAcentral